AGGGAAUAUUGGACAAUGGGCGCAAGCCUGAUCCAGCCAUGCCGCGUGAGUGAAGAAGGCCCUCGGGUUGUAAAGCUCUUUUGUCCGGAAAGAAAAGCAUCGGGUUAAUACCCCGGUGUUCUGACGGUACCGGAAGAAUAAGCACCGGCUAACUUCGUGCCAGCAGCCGCGGUAAUACGAAGGGUGCAAGCGUUACUCGGAAUUACUGGGCGUAAAGCGUGCGUAGGUGGUUCGUUAAGUCUGAUGUGAAAGCCCUGGGCUCAACCUGGGAAUGGCAUUGGAAACUGGCGGACUGGAGUGCGGUAGAGNGUAGCGGAAUUCCCGGUGUAGCAGUGAAAUGCGUAGAGAUCGGGAGGAACAUCCGUGGCGAAGGCGGCUACCUGGACCAGCACUGACACUGAGGCACGAAAGCGUGGGGAGCAAACA
Molecule: ribosomal RNA, 426 nt
Filed under: uncultured bacterium
Lineage: Bacteria
Description: bacterial SSU rRNA
Rfam family: Bacterial small subunit ribosomal RNA
Source: RNAcentral